RNAcentral lists this ribosomal RNA (519 nucleotides) under uncultured bacterium. RNAcentral's name for it is "bacterial SSU rRNA". It matches the Rfam family "Bacterial small subunit ribosomal RNA", at positions 791 to 1311 of the family's 1533-position model. The record is from RNAcentral.
UAGUCCUAGCCGUAAACGAUGUUCAUUAGGUGUAGGGGGUAUCGACCCCCUCUGCGCCGAAGCUAACGCAUUAAAUGAACCGCCUGGGGAGUACGGCCGCAAGGUUGAAACUCAAAGGAAUUGACGGGGGCCCGCACAAGCGGUGGAACAUGUGGUUUAAUUCGAUGAUACGCGAGGAACCUUACCUGGACUUAAAUGUAGAUUGCAUAGAGUAGAAAUAUUCUUUUCUUCGGACUAUCUACAAGGUGCUGCAUGGUUGUCGUCAGCUCGUGCCGUGAGGUGUCGGGUUAAGUCCCAUAACGAGCGCAACCCCUAUCGUUAGUUGCUAACAGGUCAAGCUGAGGACUCUGACGAGACUGCCGGUGUAAACCGCGAGGAAGGUGGGGGAUGACGUCAAAUCAGCACGGCCCUUACGUCCAGGGCUACACACGUGUUACAAUGGCCGAUACAGAGGGCAGCUACCUGGUAACAGGAUGCGAAUCUCGAAAAUUGGUCUCAGUUCGGAUCGGAGUCUGCAAC